RNAcentral lists this ribosomal RNA (254 nucleotides) under uncultured bacterium. RNAcentral's name for it is "partial 16S ribosomal RNA". It matches the Rfam family "Bacterial small subunit ribosomal RNA", at positions 524 to 776 of the family's 1533-position model. The record is from RNAcentral.
GACGAACCGUGCGAACGUUAUUCGGAAUCACUGGGCUUAAAGCGCGUGUAGGCGGGGCGGCACGUCCGUCGCUGAAAUCCCCCGGCUCAACCGGGGAACGGGCGCGGAUACGACCGCCCUGGAGGGGCGUAGGGGGACCUGGAACUUCCGGUGGAGCGGUGAAAUGCGCAGAUAUCAGGAAGAACACCUAUGGCGAAGGCAGCUCUCUGGGACGGUACUGACGCUGAGACGCGAAAGCGUGGGGAGCGAACAGG